CGUAAACGAUGAGUGCUAAGUGUUGGAGGGUUCCGCCCUUCAGUGCUGCAGCUAACGCAUUAAGCACUCCGCUGGGGAGUACGACCGCAAGGUUGAAACUCAAAGGAAUUGACGGGGGCCCGCACAAGCGGUGGAGCAUGUGGUUUAAUUCGAAGCAACGCGAAGAACCUUACCAGGUCUUGACAUCCUUUGACCACUCUAGAGAUAGAGCUUUCCCUUCGGGGACAAAGUGACAGGUGGUGCAUGGUUGUCGUCAGCUCGUGUCGUGAGAUGUUGGGUUAAGUCCCGCAACGAGCGCAACCCUUAUUGUUAGUUGCCAUCAUUCAGUUGGGCACUCUAGCGAGACUGCCGGUGACAAACCGGAGGAAGGUGGGGAUGACGUCAAAUCAUCAUGCCCCUUAUGACCUGGGCUACACACGUGCUACAAUGGGAAGUACAACGAGUCGCUAGGCCGCGAGGUCAUGCAAAUCUCUUAAAGCUUCUCUCAGUUCGGAUUGCAGGCUGCAACUCGCCUGCAUGAAGCCGGAAUCGCUAGUAAUCGCGGAUCAGCACGCCGCGGUGAAUACGUUCCCGGGCCUUGUACACACCGCCCGUCACACCACGAAAGUUUGUAACACCCGAAGUCGGUGAGGUAACCUUUUGGAGCCAGCCGCCUAAGGUGGGAUAGAUGAUUGGGGUGAAGUCGUAACAAGGUAACCAAGGGCGAAUUCCAG
This 713-nucleotide ribosomal RNA is filed under the name uncultured Enterococcus sp. RNAcentral's name for it is "bacterial SSU rRNA". It matches the Rfam family "Bacterial small subunit ribosomal RNA", at positions 801 to 1516 of the family's 1533-position model. Lineage: Bacteria; Bacillati; Bacillota; Bacilli; Lactobacillales; Enterococcaceae. The record is from RNAcentral.